Molecule: long non-coding RNA, 672 nt
Filed under: Salmo salar (Atlantic salmon)
Lineage: Eukaryota; Metazoa; Chordata; Actinopteri; Salmoniformes; Salmonidae
Description: lncRNA (ENSSSAG00000120230.1)
Source: RNAcentral
GAGCUUUACUGCUGCCAGCUAUACAGCAGCUAACAGAACCAGCUGUGGAACUGCCUAUCCACCCAGGACUGGACCAAACGUUUAGAGAGAGAUAUAGGUCUGUAGUUCUGUUAUCACAGACACUGUUUAGAGAGAGAGAUGUAGGUCUGUAGUUCUGUUAUACAGACACUGUUUAGAGAGAGAGAGAGAGAGAUGUAGGUCUGUAGUUCUGUUAUCACAGACACUGUUUAGAGAGAGAUGUAGUUCUGUUAUACAGACACUGUUUAGAGAGAGAUGUAGGUCUGUAGUUCUGUUAUCACAGACACUGUUUAGAGAGAGAUGUAGGUCUGUAGUUCUGUUAUCACAGACACUGUUUAGAGAGAGAUGUAGUUCUGUUAUACAGACACUGUUUAGAGAGAGAUGUAGGUCUGUAGAUCUGUUAUCACAGACAAUGUUUAGAGAGAGAGAUGUAGGUCUGUAGAUCUGUUAUACAGACACUGUUUAGAGAGAGAGAGGUGUAGUCCUAUAUAGUGAGCUCCAAAAGUAUUGGGACAGUGACACAUUUUCUGUUGUUUUGGCUCUGUACUUAAAAUUAGACGAUGACUAUGAGGUUAACGUGCAGACUGUCCACUUUGAGGGUUACGUCAUCCAUAUCGGCUGAACGGUUUAGAAAUUACUUUUUGUACAUAGUCC